GACGAACGCUGGCGGCGUGCUUAACACAUGCAAGUCGAACGGAAAGGCCCUGCUUUUGUGGGGUGCUCGAGUGGCGAACGGGUGAGUAACACGUGAGUAACCUGCCCUUGACUUUGGGAUAACUUCAGGCAACUUGGGCUAAUACCGGAUAGGAGCUCCUGCUGCAUGGUGGGGGUUGGAAAGUUUCGGCGGUUGGGGAUGGACUCGCGGCUUAUCAGCUUGUUGGUGGGGUAGUGGCUUACCAAGGCUUUGACGGGUAGCCGGCCUGAGAGGGUGACCGGCCACAUUGGGACUGAGAUACGGCCCAGACUACUACGGGAGGCAGCAGUGGGGAAUAUUGCACAAUGGGCGGAAGCCUGAUGCAGCAACGCCGCGUGCGGGAUGACGGCCUUCGGGUUGUAAACCGCUUUCGCCUGUGACGAAGCGUGAGUGACGGUAAUGGGUAAAGAAGCACCGGCUAACUACGUG
This 468-nucleotide ribosomal RNA is filed under the name uncultured bacterium. RNAcentral describes it as "partial 16S ribosomal RNA". It matches the Rfam family "Bacterial small subunit ribosomal RNA", at positions 28 to 507 of the family's 1533-position model. The record is from RNAcentral.